Molecule: long non-coding RNA, 1590 nt
Organism: Canis lupus familiaris (dog)
Lineage: Eukaryota; Metazoa; Chordata; Mammalia; Carnivora; Canidae
Exons: 3
Source: RefSeq, a predicted model, not a curated record
CACAGUGACCCCCAGGGCGGGCAGGGGAACUUCUGAAGCCAGACCUCAGAGGGUUGGCACGGUCAGUAAGGGUUGAGAUGGGGCUUAGACAGCAGGAAAUACCACCUGACCAAGCCAAGAGAGAACAACACAGCCAGAAUCUCUGUGGGGGACAACCUCAGAAUAUCUAAGGCCAGUAGAACUCUCGGGAACAUCUUGGAAACAAAACCCCUUGGGCAGUAUUUACAGAGAGAUCAAGGGAAUGUCUCAAGAAACCAGCACUAUGUUAGACUUCUUUGCUCCAAGGUCACCAGAUGAAACCUAGCCAGAUGGCUUUUGUUGGGCAAAGAAUGAAGACUAAGCACCAAGUAUAGCUCAAAUGUCCAUGUAUGUAAAGGAUGUCUCUUAUCUUUAUGUUUCCUCCGAAGACACACAGUUGGCAUAAGGCAACACUGUAACCCUUCUUUAACAACACAAAUGUAUAAGGAAACAUGCUUAUAAAUCAGGAGGAUGGAAAACCAUUGGGGGUAUUAGAAAACACUAGCAAAACAAAGCAGGAGAUAGAAAGAGAAUGCAGCAAGAAAAUGAAGAAGUCAAGAAAAAGAAAAAGAAAAAGAAGAGAGGGGCAAUCAGGAAACACUUUCCUCAACAUAAUAUGCGUCCUUGUAGAUGGGUUUUACCAUUGAUUCCUACUUUCUACUUUCAGGGCCAGAAGAUUUCAAACUCUCAUUAGGACAAUACAAUAGUAAGAGAGUCCCUUUCAAGAGACCCAGAGCAUUAAUCCACCUUAUUAUAUUUGUUUCAAAGCUAUACUGAAAUGUGCACAUUUGUGCUAGUUGUACUAGUAAGUCUCAAUUCAUCCUCUUAUAUUGUCAUGAAAACUUUUUUAUCUUAAUGAAAAAAAUUCUAAUACUAUGUGAACUUUAAUUGUAUUGCCAAUUUCCUUGUCAUAUUGUAUUCCCAUGGUAGAGUAUUAACACUGAUAUACUUUAACUGUGCUUCAUGUAUAAAUUUAUACACACAUAGGCAUAUGCAUUUUUUAAUGGGAUUUACCUGAGUAAUGCUAAUAGGGAGCCACACAUGUAAAUCCUUGUGCAUCGAAAUGAAAAUACAUCUCUACAUAUUCUCAAAUAAGGUUUCUUGGGGGUUCAUUUUAUGUUUGUGGGGAAUUCAUGUAUAUUUGUAACCAGUUCUAAUCAUCUAAAGGUCACAGAAUUUGGAGUAUUUUUUAAAUGCUCCUUUCUGUGGUGAACGAAUGGAACAGACUAUGUUCAGAUUUGUUGCCUUCUUCAUAGUCCAUUCCAACACAAGAUGCCUAAUUUUAAGGACAUUUUCCCCCUAUUUAAAAAAAUAAAUCAACUUUGUGAAAGAAAAAAUAUAUAGCUGCCAAGUAUAUAGAAGUUCAAAAGUUUUUCUAUUGCCUGAAAUAGAGAUGCAAGAAAUUACAUUAAAGUUUUAAACAGAAACAGAAGUUUUCAGUCGAUGUAGAUAAAAAUCUAUUAGAGAUAAAAUUGUUUUGACAAAAACUGUGUAAAUACAAUGCCACUGGCUGCAAGCCUAUUAUUGAAUGCAAGUGGAAAAUAAGAAUAGCACUCCUGAAGGGGCAUUGCU